CCGUCACAACGGCUUCCUGGCGUGACGGCGUAAAUGUUAAUGGAGCA
RNAcentral lists this non-coding RNA (47 nucleotides) under Actibacterium ureilyticum. Its description in RNAcentral is "SAM-SAH-Weickhmann-2018 RNA". It matches the Rfam family "SAM/SAH riboswitch aptamer". Lineage: Bacteria; Pseudomonadati; Pseudomonadota; Alphaproteobacteria; Rhodobacterales; Roseobacteraceae. The record is from RNAcentral.